Molecule: long non-coding RNA, 858 nt
Organism: Perca fluviatilis (European perch)
Lineage: Eukaryota; Metazoa; Chordata; Actinopteri; Perciformes; Percidae
Exons: 3
Source: RefSeq, a predicted model, not a curated record
GAAGGCACACGUGCUAGUGUGGUGCAUGUAAACACAGUGUGGGCUGACAUCAUGUGCUUUGGUUUCAUUUCUUUUACUCAGACAACGCUAGCUCUUGCAAACUUGUAUGUAGCUAACCAACGGUGUCCAUGAGUCCAUCGCCCGUUUUGGACUCUUCGAGUGCCACAAAAGCAAAGCAAACCCGGCCCUCUGCGUAAGAGGAAAACUCUCUCUGCCCGAAGGCAUCAUCUUUCUGUUUGGCUUUAUUAUAACUGCCAUUUAGGGUAAGGGAGCAGGAAGAAGGGGGAAAGGAGGAGAAAGCAGAAAAGCAGAUGAAGAGAAACAGACAGCAACACAAAGAAAGGAGUCAGCAUGAAGGGAGGAAGAGAGGCAGUGACGAAGAGAUGAGUUGUGUUUUCUCUUGCUGGCUAACUGGAAGCAGAACAGUGUCUGAGUUACUACUUACUCGAAUGAUUUGGGCUGUAAACAUGCUUCAGUUUUUGCCUGAGACCCUAACCUUAACCUUUCGAUGACUUUUUCCACAUGAUUUUCAAAGGACAAAUCACAGGUCAGUUAGAUAACCCUGAGCAGACUUAAUAGCACCUGUUCAAAGUUAUAAUCCUGAAGAUUUCAUUAUAUCAAACCCAGUUGUUAUAGUAUUCAUGUAAUUUUUUCAGAUGCUGCCCCAAAUGUAUAUUACACGGGUCAUUUUGAAUGGAACGCUGGACAUGUAUUAUUAAUUAUUAAAACACUGGUGCAAACGUGAUAUGUCAAUGUUGUGUUUCUACAGAGCAAAACUGAACUUUUUCAGGGUCGACAGUGUUAACAAAUGUUUCCACUUCUUUUCAUAUUUUAUUAAAGGGUCUCAAUGAUGGAAAU